GAAGUUUCGUUCGUUUCGCUAUCAAAUUUUUUUUUAUUCUUUCAUGUAAAACAACGAACCGUUAAUGCACGUUAUUACUUGGAAGCUUGUAACAUUUCACUAAACAAUAUUAUUGGAAUUUGGAACCUGUAUGGAGAUCGAGGUGUGCGAGGUCGAAAAGUGUAAAAGAUUGCCAGGUACAAUUAACAGUGACGUAAUAAUCGCACAAAUGAAAAUAUGAAAAUAACGCGUUACGUGAUGUAAACGAAACGAUGAGAAAAUUAGCAGGGAAUAAUGGGCAGCGCGACGUUUUUCCAAUUACAAAGUACAACAAACAGAAUUUUUAAUUAUCGACCGUCAGGUGGACGCCUAAUUACACUGAUUGCUCGCGCGCGAGAAUGAGUGGAAAAAAAAAAGAAGGUAUGUACUUACGUACAUAAUAACGUUCCGCAAAGCUGAAUUUACGUAAUCAAGGCGAGUAUCUGUCGACGAAUGAUAUCCAAUUUGAUACGUAAACGAUAGAGCCUAUUUUUAUUCGGCAAAGAUUCUUCGCGAUAUUUACGAAGAAUCGUUGGAAGCGCGACGGCUGCCGAUAAGAUAAGUCGAGCCCGAAAGGAGAAGAGAACGAUAAGAAUUGCCACGAGUAUUGUAUCGCGAACAAUUGUUUAUCGACACACGCUCUCGCCACUAUUAAGCACUAGAACCGGACGAAAAUCGGAUUGAAGGAAAUUUUUUUCAGCGAAGAGGAUUUUUCGGCGAAACUUUCUUCGAUCGAAAAAUUUUAAACUUAAAGAGAUAAAUGCAAGUAUAUUGUAAUCAGUUGUGGUGCUUCGAGUAAAAUGGCCCUGUUAGGACGAAAUAUCGCGCGAAACGAACGAUUCUCGAUUCUAAAUAACUUUGAAUUGAGAAACAGAGGAACUAAGUCGUUCCACGUUAUCACGUCUACGUCCCCUUAUGAUUGAUCGAUAUUUCUAGUCUGGAAAGGUUAUUCUCAUUUUCAAUCGAUACGAAGUACAGGACGCGAUGAUAUUCUAGCUUGGAGAUAACGAGAACAUAAUUGUUCCUCCGACUUACGUUUUUAAAUUAAUUUUCCUUUCACGUCCAAUUUACUAUUUUAUAUUGAGAUAAUCGACGCUCAACUCGAAUACAAUAUUUGUAAUCUAUACUUUUCAGAUCAAUGUUCCAGGGAAUACAAAUACAUCCAAGAGAAGGCUCUCGAAAGCAAUGAUAUGAUCGUUAUACGAAAUAAUUGUUUUCAAUUCCGUAUCGUUAUCAGUAUUUGACGUUCGCGAUCUUACGUAGAUAUUACGAUCUUUCAACGACAUGUGACCAACAAUAAGUUCAGUUCUCCAAUUCAGGCAUUGAUGCUUGAUGAAUUGUCCAAAAAAAAAAGAACAGCCAAUAAAUUUUAAUGUUCGUCAAAGUGUAAAUGUUGAGAUGGUGGACACGUUCGAUAACCGCAUUGUUAUGGGAUAAAAGCGUCGAGCUGUGUAUUUUGAUCAAAAUGCUAGCACGCUCGCAUGUUAACGGAUCAGCAAUUUUUCCCUCUCCCUUUUUAUUUUAUUCCUCAAGUUUCUCCCUUUCUACGAAUACACUUGCCAGAUAAGAAAGUACUAAUGGAAAUAUCUCCUUAAUGUCAGAAUUCGACGAACUGACUUGCUUUCAUUCGAUUAGUUGGCAUUCAUCGAAAACGAUACACUGCAACCGAGCCACAUUUUACAUCACGUAAUUUCUGCACAAAAUAAAAAAUAAAAAAUAAAAAAAAAAGAAGACAAGAAUGAAUGUUGACGGUGAAAUAAUAUCCUUGUCAUUGAGGAAUGUGGAUAAUACGGUCAAAAGUGCAGCGACGAUGUAAUUAUCGGCGAUCGAAGGAUAUUUAUAUGUAAUACAUAACACGUUAUAAAUACAUUUCAUUUUCUACCUUAACGUAGUUUGUCUCUUUUUGGAAAUUAUUCAUCGUGGAACACGUUUACAAGUGAAAAUAAUCCACGUGUGCACGUGAAAUUGUUUUUUUUUUUUUUUAAAGCUUAAAUCAUUAACGCACGAUUAAAUUUUUUUUAUAAGAAAAAAACAAUUUGUAAUGGAAGUGGAUAUGCAUAUACAGGCAAAAUUU
Molecule: long non-coding RNA, 2092 nt
Organism: Frieseomelitta varia
Lineage: Eukaryota; Metazoa; Arthropoda; Insecta; Hymenoptera; Apidae
Exons: 3
Source: RefSeq, a predicted model, not a curated record